This 317-nucleotide long non-coding RNA is filed under the name Panax ginseng (ginseng). RNAcentral's name for it is "long non-coding RNA (PGIN_LNC002163)". The record is from RNAcentral. Lineage: Eukaryota; Viridiplantae; Streptophyta; Magnoliopsida; Apiales; Araliaceae.
CAAAAGGGCUAUUUAUUGUGAAUUAUUGAAGUUUCGAAGCUCCGAAAUAAUUGAUUUUUGGAAGUUUAAAAUAUUUUUAUUUACAAAAAUGUUUUUUUCAUUUGGUUCCCUCAUUUAACACAUGACAAGUUGCUGAAAUUCAGAUUCAAGGUGUGCGUAGGAAUUAUUAUUAUAAAUAAUAAUAUUAUAUUAAAUUUUCUGCUUUGGUGUUCUAAGCAAUUUCCUAUAAAUAGGUGCUUAGGUUAGAAUUGAAAAUCACACCAGAAACUGAAGUUUUCUCUCUCUAUAUUAUCGAGCGUAUUCUUGUGAGUAUUUUG